UAUCCGCGAUGCGAUGACCAUCGUCUGAU
RNAcentral lists this small RNA (29 nucleotides) under Bombyx mori (domestic silkworm). RNAcentral describes it as "ovarian small RNA-23599". Lineage: Eukaryota; Metazoa; Arthropoda; Insecta; Lepidoptera; Bombycidae. The record is from RNAcentral.